RNAcentral lists this ribosomal RNA (714 nucleotides) under Tentaculariidae sp. 1 JB-2023. RNAcentral's name for it is "partial large subunit ribosomal RNA". Lineage: Eukaryota; Metazoa; Platyhelminthes; Cestoda; Trypanorhyncha; Tentaculariidae. The record is from RNAcentral.
CUCUGAGAGAGAGUAAACAGUACGUGAAACCGCAUAAAGGUAAACGGGUGGCGUCAAGCUGCUAGCCUGGAGGAUUCAGCUGGUCAUUUUGUGGGGUAUACGUCCUGUGUAUCGCAGUCGGGGAUAGUGAGUAGUCUGCUGGCAAACGGCAGGCCUGGUCGCAAGGCUAGGAUGUACGAUCCACGUGUUUGGUGGUGUACGCUGCUCGGCUAUUGGACUGGAUGGCCGGUGCACUUCCUCCAUUAAGGUGAACACCACGACCGGUGGAACUGCCAGUCUGGUAUAGCCAAGUUGUGUCUAUUUCGGCAUUCGUGCGGAUUAGGCUCAAUCACAGGCAGAUUCGGUGGACGGUGAGUAGACUCACGGGUUUGCUCAUGUUAUCGGUCACUGGCUGUCAACGGGUUUGUCCGCUGAGGUUGCAGUCCUUGGUGGGUGGCCUGGUGGGCUAUUCUGGUAAGAAUAACUGUGCAGGGCACCGGAGUUGUCGGUCUCUAAUCCGGUUGACACGCGCGCUGCAGGUGUGUGUGGAGGUGCCAUUUCGGCCUUUCGUUGCUUGAGUCUGAUUGCCGUGUCGCCUGCGAAAAGUAGGUCCGGUAGUGGCUCGACUACGGUCGGUGCAUGAAGUGGUGCUUCUCUGUCAGUCGGUGUGGACCCAACAGUCUGUGGUGUAGUGGUAGACGAGCUACCCGACCCGUCUUGAAACACGGACCAAGG